This 444-nucleotide ribosomal RNA is filed under the name Bacillus pumilus. RNAcentral describes it as "bacterial SSU rRNA". It matches the Rfam family "Bacterial small subunit ribosomal RNA", at positions 124 to 557 of the family's 1533-position model. The record is from RNAcentral. Lineage: Bacteria; Bacillati; Bacillota; Bacilli; Caryophanales; Bacillaceae.
ACCUGCCUGUAAGACUGUAUUAACUCCGGGAAACCGAUCCUAAUACCGGAUAGAUCCUUGAACCGCAUGGUUCAAGGAUGAACUGCGGUUUCAACUGUCACUUAAUUAUGGACACUGGGCGCAUUAUCUAGUUGGUGAGGUAUUUGCUCAGCCCGGUGACGAUGCUGAGCCGACCUGAGAGGGUGAUCGGCCACGCUGUGACUGAUCCCCGCCUUCACUCCUAUUGGAGGGGCAGUCACCUUUCUUCGCCAAUGUAAAAGCUUCUGACUGAGAACCGCGGCUGGACUGAUUAAGGUUUUCAGACCGUAAUCCUCUGAUGUUAGGUAACAACAACUGUGAGAGUAACUGCUUGCACCAUGACGGUACCUAACCCUAAAGCCAGGGUUAACUACGUGCCACCAGCCCCGGUAAUACUCUUCUGGUUGCUUUGUCCGGAAUUAUUGG